This 432-nucleotide ribosomal RNA is filed under the name uncultured bacterium. RNAcentral's name for it is "partial 16S ribosomal RNA". It matches the Rfam family "Bacterial small subunit ribosomal RNA", at positions 29 to 506 of the family's 1533-position model. The record is from RNAcentral.
AACGAACGCUGGCGGCAUGCCUAACACAUGCAAGUCGAACGAGACCUUCGGGUCUAGUGGCGCACGGGUGCGUAACGCGUGGGAACCUGCCCUUAGGUUCGGAAUAACUCCCCGAAAGGGGUGCUAAUACCGGAUAAUGUCUUCGGACCAAAGAUUUAUCGCCUUUGGAUGGGCCCGCGUUGGAUUAGCUAGUUGGUAGGGUAAAAGCCUACCAAGGCGACGAUCCAUAGCUGGUCUGAGAGGAUGAUCAGCCACACUGGGACUGAGACACGGCCCAGACGGGUAGGGGAGGCGGGAGGGGGGAAGAUUGGACGAUGGGCGAAAGCCUGAUCCAGCAAUGCCGCGUGAGUGAUGAAGGCCUUAGGGUUGUAAAGCUCUUUUACCCGGGAUGAUAAUGACAGUACCGGGAGAAUAAGCUCCGGCUAACUCCGU